AGUGUUCAGUGAAGGAAUGGUCGAUGAUGGUUUCCAAGACGCUGUCAACAUUGAUAUAUCCUCAAUAGUGAUUGAACCAUGCAAAAGAAAUACCAAGAUCUUCCAGAACUGAAAUAAAUUGAGUACUGGCCACCAGUUACAAACAGGGUACCUGCUCCUGUAUCAACUCAACUAGUGAGAAGAUAUUAAAAUGGAUAUUCGAGAUAUGAGUGACUUUGAGUCAGGUUACAUUGAUGCUGUCA
This is a long non-coding RNA of Macadamia integrifolia, 242 nucleotides long. RefSeq lists it as uncharacterized. Lineage: Eukaryota; Viridiplantae; Streptophyta; Magnoliopsida; Proteales; Proteaceae. The record is from RefSeq and is a predicted model, not a curated record. The transcript has 3 exons.